Molecule: ribosomal RNA, 324 nt
Filed under: uncultured eukaryote
Lineage: Eukaryota
Description: partial 18S ribosomal RNA
Rfam family: Eukaryotic small subunit ribosomal RNA
Source: RNAcentral
CCCUUAGAUGUCCUGGGCUGCACGCGCGCUACACUGAUGUGUCCAGUAAGCACCUAACCUCUUCCGAAAGGAACGGGUAACCUUUGCAAAGCACAUCGUGAUGGGGAUAGAUUAUUGCAAUUAUUAGUCUUGAACGAGGAAUUCCUAGUAAGCACAAGUCAUCAGCUUGUGUUGAUUACGUCCCUGCCCUUUGUACACACCGCCCGUCGCCCCUACCGAUUGAAUGUUCCGGUGAGCUCUUCGGACUGCGCGGUCUGCAGUUUCUGCGUUCCGUGCGGAAAGUUGCGCAAACCUUAACAUUUAGAGGAAGGAGAAGUCGUAACA